RNAcentral lists this ribosomal RNA (528 nucleotides) under uncultured bacterium. RNAcentral describes it as "partial 16S ribosomal RNA". It matches the Rfam family "Bacterial small subunit ribosomal RNA", at positions 355 to 900 of the family's 1533-position model. The record is from RNAcentral.
UGGGGAAUAUUGGACAAUGGGGGCAACCCUGAUCCAGCAAUGCCGCGUGUGUGAAGAAGGUCUUCGGAUUGUAAAGCACUUUCGACGGGGACGAUGGUGACGGUACCCGUAGAAGAAGCCCCGGCUAACUUCGUGCCAGCAGCCGCGGUAAUACGAAGGGGGCUAGCGUUGCUCGGAAUGACUGGGCGUAAAGGGCGUGUAGACGGUUUACACAGUCAGAUGUGAAAUCCCCGGGCUUAACCUGGGAGCUGCAUUUGAUACGUGUAGACUAGAGUGUGAGAGAGGGUUGUGGAAUUCCCAGUGUAGAGGUGAAAUUCGUAGAUAUUGGGAAGAACACCGGUGGCGAAGGCGGCAACCUGGCUCAUGACUGACGCUGAGGCGCGAAAGCGUGGGGAGCAAACAGGAUUAGAUACCCUGGUAGUCCACGCUGUAAACGAUGUGUGCUAGAUGUUGGGUAACUUUGUUAUUCAGUGUCGCAGUUAACGCGUUAAGCACACCGCCUGGGGAGUACGGCCGCAAGGUUGAAAC